UAAGUAUUUCCAUGCAU
Molecule: microRNA, 17 nt
Filed under: Corchorus olitorius
Lineage: Eukaryota; Viridiplantae; Streptophyta; Magnoliopsida; Malvales; Malvaceae
Description: ppy-miR-30
Source: RNAcentral